CAGUCGCCGCGGUAAUACGGAGGGUGCAAGCGUUAAUCGGAAUUACUGGGCGUAAAGCGUGCGUAGGCGGUUCGUUAAGUCUGUUGUGAAAGCCCCGGGCUCAACCUGGGAAUGGCAAUGGAUACUGGCGAGCUAGAGUGUGUCAGAGGAUGGUGGAAUUCCCGGUGUAGCGGUGAAAUGCGUAGAGAUCGGGGGGAACAUCAGUGGCGAAGGCGGCCAUCUGGGACAACACUGACGCUGAAGCACGAAAGCGUGGGGAGCAAACAGGAUUAGAUACCCCAGUAGUCCCUGUCUCUUAUAC
Molecule: ribosomal RNA, 301 nt
Filed under: uncultured bacterium
Lineage: Bacteria
Description: partial 16S ribosomal RNA
Rfam family: Bacterial small subunit ribosomal RNA
Source: RNAcentral